UGUGAGGGAGUAAGGGUUUUGUGGUACAAGGAAGGGCUGUUUGCUUUAUGUAAGGUAAUUCAGUCUUAAAUGCAUACUGGUAAAGAUUUGCUCCUUCUUAUAAGCAAUCCUUGUUGAUUACUGUGCUGUCAUCCUGCCAGUUUAUAGUCUUUUAAUCUAACAAUAAUUUAAUGCAAAGUCCCCAGACAUAAAUAAAGACUGCUGUUAUCUCUUUAACCAGAAAAAAAACCCCUAAAUGAGAGGGAAGAUGAUCUGGUGGGCAGUCUGGUUAGAGGAGAAAGGAAUAAUCCCAGAGGCUUCUCAUUCAGCAUAUUGGGCUGUGGACAAAAAACAAACGCAGCUCUCCCUCUGACAGCAGCUUGCUGCGCAAAGCUGUUACAUGCAGGUUGGGUGGUCAUCACAUGUCUGACCGGCAGCUGGUUCUCCUUUUUCAAUAGCAGCUGUUCUGGUUUGCUUUGGCAAAGAAGCUGGAAAUACACAAAUUCUUUUAAAAAUGAAAUUACUUAUUUUGGGGGUUACAAUAUAAUAGCAAAACAUGAAACAGCAGAGCCCACACUUCCAAGCAUCUGUAAACAGAGGUGGAUGGUGCCUUUGUACUGUCCUGUCAGCUAGAACAUGUUUCCUGGCUGGAUGUAAGCACAUGGGGCUAGAACAUGUCUCCAUUAGCUGCAUGUGCUGGGGCUUCUUGGCAUGGAAGGGAACAGUCAUCUCUGCUUUCGUCAGACCAAAUGGGGAGUUCUCCUUUCUCCAGAGGCCAUGAACAGGGAGACUAUGAGAGAGAGGCAAGAGCGGGGGGAGAGCUGGAAGGAGAUGCAUCAUUUGCCCUCCACAUGCUGGUCCUGAAACCAGGAAGAUCCUGGGUUUGUGUUUCAUUCUUUGCAGGUCCACGUGGAGAGACUGUCUUUUGUUAUAGUGCCCAGGAGAAGAAAUGGGAUCCCACUUUGAUGAAGCCAGAGACAACAAGUUCUGCCAUGGCCUUGUGAACUGGACAAAUGGAGAUGAAUCAUGGAUUGAAUAAACUGUUUGCAUUUGUGA
Long non-coding RNA from Alligator mississippiensis (American alligator), 1035 nucleotides. RefSeq lists it as uncharacterized. Lineage: Eukaryota; Metazoa; Chordata; Crocodylia; Alligatoridae. The record is from RefSeq and is a predicted model, not a curated record. The transcript has 2 exons.